Molecule: ribosomal RNA, 376 nt
Filed under: uncultured bacterium
Lineage: Bacteria
Description: bacterial SSU rRNA
Rfam family: Bacterial small subunit ribosomal RNA
Source: RNAcentral
AUACGUAGGUGGCAAGCGUUGUCCGGAAUUAUUGGGUGUAAAGGGCGCGUAGGCGGCAACCUAAGUCAGAUGUGAAACCCCGGGGCUUAACUCCGGACGUGCAUUUGAAACUGGGUAGCUAGAGUGCAGGAGAGGAAAGCGGAAUUCCUAGUGUAGCGGUGAAAUGCGUAGAUAUUAGGAGGAACACCAGUGGCGAAGGCGGCUUUCUGGACUGUAACUGACGCUGAGGCGCGAAAGCGUGGGGAGCAAACAGGAUUAGAUACCCUGGUAGUCCACGCUGUAAACGAUGGAUACUAGGUGUGGGAGGUAUCGACCCCUUCCGUGCCGCAGUAAACGCAAUAAGUAUCCCGCCUGGGGAGUACGGCCGCAAGGUUGA